This 450-nucleotide ribosomal RNA is filed under the name uncultured Flavobacteriia bacterium. RNAcentral describes it as "bacterial SSU rRNA". It matches the Rfam family "Bacterial small subunit ribosomal RNA", at positions 45 to 496 of the family's 1533-position model. The record is from RNAcentral. Lineage: Bacteria; Pseudomonadati; Bacteroidota; Flavobacteriia.
GGCCUAACACAUGCAAGUCGAGGGGUAUAGUUUUUCGGAACUAGAGACCGGCGCACGGGUGCGUAACGCGUAUGCAAUCUACCUUUUACAGAGGGAUAGCCCAGAGAAAUUUGGAUUAAUACCUCAUAGUAUUAUGAAAUGGCAUCAUUUUAUAAUUAAAGUCACAACGGUAAAAGAUGAGCAUGCGUCCCAUUAGCUAGUUGGUAAGGUAACGGCUUACCAAGGCUACGAUGGGUAGGGGUCCUGAGAGGGAGAUCCCCCACACUGGUACUGAGACACGGACCAGACUCCUACGGGAGGCAGCAGUGAGGAAUAUUGGACAAUGGGCGCAAGCCUGAUCCAGCCAUGCCGCGUGCAGGAUGACGGUCCUAUGGAUUGUAAACUGCUUUUAUACGAGAAGAAACACUACUUCGUGAAGUAGCUUGACGGUAUCGUAAGAAUAAGGAUCGG